GUAAGGGAGCGAAAAUUAGUAGCGAAGUAGGUGAUUGUACACUGGCGAGAAAAGCUGUAUGAAUUGACAAGGUGCCCGUACCGCAAACCGACACAGGUAGAUGAGGAGAGAAUCCUAAGACCAGCGGGAGAAGUGUUGUUAAGGAACUCGGCAAAAUGACCCCGUAACUUCGGGAUAAGGGGAGCCUACGCGAGUAGGCCGCAGAGAAUAGUCUCAAGCGACUGUUUAGCAAAAACACAGGUCUAUGCUAAAUCGAAAGAUGAUGUAUAUGGGCUGACGCCUGCCCGGUGCUGGAAGGUUAAGGGGAAGUGUUAGAGCAAUCGAAGCACUGAACUUAAGCCCCAGUAAACGGCGGCCGUAACUAUAACGGUCCUAAGGUAGCGAAAUUCCUUGUCAGGUAAGUUCUGACCCGCACGAAUGGCGUAACGACUUGAGAGCUGUCUCAACAACAUACCCGGCGAAAUUGAAGUACUGGUAAAGAUGCCAGUUACCCGUGAUAAGACGGAAAGACCCCAUGGAGCUUUACUGUAACUUGAUAUUGAAUUUUUGUAUUACAUGUACAGGAUAGGUGGGAGACAGAGAACUAAUGCCGCCAGGUGUUAGGGAGUCGAUGUUGGGAUACCACUCUUGUAAUAUGAAGGUUCUAACCUGCACCCGUGAAUCCGGGUGGGGGACACUGUCAGGUGGACAGUUUGACUGGGGCGGUCGCCUCCUAAAAGGUAACGGAGGCGUUCAAAGGUUGGUUCAGCACGGACGGAAAUCGUGCAACGAGUGCAAACGCAUAAACCAGCCUAACUGCGAGACCGACAAGUCAAGCAGUAACGAAAGUUGGAGUUAGUGAUCCGGCGGUAUGAGAGUGGAAUUGCCGUCGCUCAACGGAUAAAAGCUACCCUGGGGAUAACAGGCUGAUCUCCCCCAAGAGUCCACAUCGACGGGGAGGUUUGGCACCUCGAUGUCGGCUCAUCGCAUCCUGGAGCUGUAGUCGGUUCCAAGGGUUGGGCUGUUCGCCCAUUAAAGCGGUACGCGAGCUGGGUUCAGAACGUCGCGAGACAGUUCGGUCCCUAUCUAUCACGGGCGUAGGAAAUUUGAGGAGAGCUGACCUUAGUACGAGAGGACCGGGUUGGACGUACCGCUGGCGCACCUGUUGUUCUGCCAAGGGCAUAGCAGGGUAGCUAAGUACGGACGGGAUAAACGCUGAAGGCAUCUAAGCGUGAAGCCCCCUUCGAGAUAAGAUUUCCCAUAGCGUAGGCUAGUAAGGACCCAUGAAGACUACAUGGUUGAUAGGCCGGAGGUGGAAGUGCAGUAAUGUAUGUAGCUGACCGGUACUAAUAGUCCGAGGGCUUGACCAA
Molecule: ribosomal RNA, 1349 nt
Filed under: metagenome
Description: bacterial LSU rRNA
Rfam family: Bacterial large subunit ribosomal RNA
Source: RNAcentral